GACCUUGUUGACUAAUGGGUAAGGCGUCGGCCUCCCGAGCCGAAGAUUGUUGGUUCGAGUCCCAUCAAGGUCG
RNAcentral lists this transfer RNA (73 nucleotides) under Dreissena polymorpha. It matches the Rfam family "tRNA". Rfam says of the family: Transfer RNA (tRNA) molecules are approximately 80 nucleotides in length. Their secondary structure includes four short double-helical elements and three loops (D, anti-codon, and T loops). Further hydrogen bonds mediate the characteristic L-shaped molecular structure. tRNAs have two regions of fundamental functional importance: the anti-codon, which is responsible for specific mRNA codon recognition, and the 3' end, to which the tRNAs corresponding amino acid is attached (by aminoacyl-tRNA synthetases). tRNAs cope with the degeneracy of the genetic code in two manners: having more than one tRNA (with a specific anti-codon) for a particular amino acid; and 'wobble' base-pairing, i.e. permitting non-standard base-pairing at the 3rd anti-codon position. Lineage: Eukaryota; Metazoa; Mollusca; Bivalvia; Myida; Dreissenidae. The record is from Rfam by way of RNAcentral.